CAGUCGCCGCGGUAAUGCGCAGGUCCCGAGCGUUGUCCGGAUUUAUUGGGCGUAAAGCGAGCGCAGGCGGUUAGAUAAGUCUGAAGUUAAAGGCUGUGGCUUAACCAUAGUACGCUUUGGAAACUGUUUAACUUGAGUGCAGAAGGGGAGAGUGGAAUUCCAUGUGUAGCGGUGAAAUGCGUAGAUAUAUGGAGGAACACCGGUGGCGAAAGCGGCUCUCUGGUCUGUAACUGACGCUGAGGCUCGAAAGCGUGGGGAGCAAACAGGAUUAGAUACCCCAGUAGUCCCUGUCUCUUAUACA
RNAcentral lists this ribosomal RNA (301 nucleotides) under uncultured bacterium. RNAcentral describes it as "partial 16S ribosomal RNA". It matches the Rfam family "Bacterial small subunit ribosomal RNA", at positions 509 to 808 of the family's 1533-position model. The record is from RNAcentral.